Molecule: ribosomal RNA, 313 nt
Filed under: uncultured fungus
Lineage: Eukaryota; Fungi
Description: SSU rRNA
Rfam family: Eukaryotic small subunit ribosomal RNA
Source: RNAcentral
CAAAUUUCUGCCCUAUCAACUUUUCGAUGGUAGAGUAGUGGUCUACCAUGGUUUCAACGGGUACGGGGAAUUAGGGUUCUAUUCCGGAGAGGGAGCCUGAGAAACGGCUACCACAUCCAAGGAAGGCAGCAGGCGCGCAAAUUACCCAAUCCCGACACGGGGAGGUAGUGACAAUAAAUACCUGAUACAGGGCUCUUUUGGGUCUUGUAAUUGGAAUGAGUGCAUUUAAAUCCCUUAACGAGGAACAAUUGGAGGGCAAGUCUGGUGCCAGCAGCCGCGGUAAUUCCAGCUCCAAUACGAGUAUAUAAAAGUU